CUGAGUCACUCUUACGCUUCUUCCCUUUUGCCACAUUGUUUUUCUGCUCUUCUUUAUCCACCUUUGCAUCAGUAGAGAUUUUGGGCUUAGUUUGUGCAGAACGUCCAGGCUUUGAACUCUUGUCUACGCCCUGUUUUUUCUCAAGGGCCUGCUGUUUCAAGACAUUCUCUUCAGUAUGUUUCAAAAGUCGAUCCGUGCCUAUCCAUUCGUCCCAAUUUUUAUUCCAACCAAGGUAAUGAACAAAAUAUUUCCAUUCCUUCUUUCGGAGCUCAGCUUUUUGAACCUUGGCCUCAUAGAUGCGAGGACCGUGAUAAGCCAGGACGCGCUCUCCCUCGGAGAAGAGGCCGGAAUUGGAAGGAGGAGCAUCGCCGCUUGAGGCCUCGCCAUCGCUGCCGGAAUCGUCCUUGGAUGAGCUCCCCAUUUUGUUCACCGA
This 433-nucleotide unclassified non-coding RNA is filed under the name Hevea brasiliensis (rubber tree). The record is from RNAcentral. Lineage: Eukaryota; Viridiplantae; Streptophyta; Magnoliopsida; Malpighiales; Euphorbiaceae.